UACGGAGGGUGCGAGCGUUAAUCGGAAUUACUGGGCGUAAAGCGUGCGUAGGCGGCGCGUUAAGUCAGAUGUGAAAGCCCCGGGCUUAACCUGGGAACUGCAUUUGAAACUGGCGUGCUUGAGUUGAGUAGAGGGGAGCGGAAUUUCAGGUGUAGCGGUGAAAUGCGUAGAUAUCUGAAGGAACACCAGUGGCGAAGGCGGCUCCCUGGACUCAAACUGACGCUGAGGUACGAAAGCGUGGGUAGCAAACAGG
Molecule: ribosomal RNA, 253 nt
Filed under: uncultured bacterium
Lineage: Bacteria
Description: partial 16S ribosomal RNA
Rfam family: Bacterial small subunit ribosomal RNA
Source: RNAcentral